This 253-nucleotide ribosomal RNA is filed under the name uncultured bacterium. RNAcentral's name for it is "partial 16S ribosomal RNA". It matches the Rfam family "Bacterial small subunit ribosomal RNA", at positions 524 to 776 of the family's 1533-position model. The record is from RNAcentral.
UACGUAGGGUGCAAGCGUUGUCCGGAAUUAUUGGGCGUAAAGAGCUCGUAGGCGGUUUGUCGCGUCUGCCGUGAAAGUCCGGGGCUCAACUCCGGAUCUGCGGUGGGUACGGGCAGACUAGAGUGAUGUAGGGGAGACUGGAAUUCCUGGUGUAGCGGUGAAAUGCGCAGAUAUCAGGAGGAACACCGAUGGCGAAGGCAGGUCUCUGGGCAGUAACUGACGCUGAGGAGCGAAAGCAUGGGGAGCGAACAGG